This 70-nucleotide transfer RNA is filed under the name Candidatus Methanophagales archaeon. RNAcentral describes it as "tRNA-Cys". It matches the Rfam family "tRNA". From Rfam's summary of the family: Transfer RNA (tRNA) molecules are approximately 80 nucleotides in length. The record is from RNAcentral. Lineage: Archaea; Methanobacteriati; Methanobacteriota; Methanomicrobia; Candidatus Methanophagales.
GCCGAGGUGGCGGAGCGGCUACGCGUCCGACUGCAGAUCGGAUUAUGGGAGUUCAGAUCUCCCAUCGGCU